AAUUUUAUGUAAAAAUUCUGAUCUGAAUCAGUUGUAAAUGCCGUAUCAUCAUUGUUUCAAAUACGCAUUAUACCGUUAUAUAAAGUUGUACAAUUAUGUUGCGGGUAAGUAAUCUUCAUCAUUGUUUCGUACAAGAUAAAAGAAGUUACAUUAUGCCGUCAUAUUUCCCGCUGUUAAGAUAUGGAAGUUAUCGAACCGUUAAAGGUGGUACUAGCUAGGUAGAUAUACGUAUACGAUCUUUACCUAUAGAGAACCUCUAAUAUCUACGCGUGUACAAGUGCGUGCUAUUCUCUGUGGCGCACGUCUGCCCUUUGCUGCGACAAGUCCGCUUGUACUAUAAAUUGCCAAUGGAAACUCAUGUAAAUACUUUAUACACAGAGUUCAGCCAAUUAUCUAUUACCACCUUUUAAAUUAUCCAGGACAAGUUUGUCUAACACGAAUUUUAUCGUACAAAAGGGAUUCGUACACACGUUGAUAUCAAUUUUCUUUCCAGAUGGAGUUGUUCUCGAAAUUAAAGGUCACCUUUGUUUUUCUAAAUAGAAUAACUAUGCUUUUAGAUUUACUUUCUAAUAGAGGUUGCCUCGGAUGAAUACAUACAAUGGUGUAUGACGUAGAUUUGGUCGAAAUGAAAACAAGGAAAAUCAUUUGUCGACGGCACAAUUAUAAUUAAAAAUAUGUCGUAGAAAAAUAUGAUAAUAUUAGCCAUGAAUAAAUAAAAUAAUUGUGUAGGAUGCAUUCGUUUAUAGAACAAGUUGGCAUGCUUUUCAUUUGGAAGAACACGCGGGUCCAGAAGUUAUGUGAAAAUAUAUAUCUUCGUAACUCAUUUUAAUACAAAAAAUUAAGAUACCAGCAAAAGGAAUUUUGAUUAAAAAUUAAUUAAUUUUUUUUUUUUCAGAUUUCUGAAGUGUCGAGGAGCGACAGCUCUCGUUAGCCCCCUCCCUGAAUCCGUCACUGUGCUGAACUAACAUCUUUACCGUUCUCAACCUUUACGCUGGAUGAAUUAAAAGAAUAGCUAAGGCAAAAUUAGAAGCUAAACUCUUGAAAAAAAGGUAGCCGUGUCAAAUUUCAUGUAAACCAGAUGUUAGUCGCAAAAGUGUACUUCGCGUUCAUUAUCGUAUCGUUCACAGCUUCUACCGAGAAUUAAGUGGCACAGAUUUGAUAAAUUGGGUUGAACUUUAUGGAGAUGGAUUCCGUAUCGGAUUUCGAAUAAUGACUUGUUUUUUUUACAUGUGCUAUUAAUUAGCGGUAUAACAGAGAUAAAUCAUGGGGGAUAUUGAUAUGUAUUUUUGUUGAAUUGAAACGCAAUAUUGGCUCUACCAGACAUUACAUCGAUAACAAUAGCCGAUACUUUUAUGGGCUAUCGGCAGAGCCGUCCCUAGCACCGGGAAAACUGGGCACUUGCUCUGGGCCCUGUGCUUACAUUUAUAAUUUUCUACAAAAUAAUCAAAUUCAGUAUCAGUAGUCAAUAAUCUUUUAAAUAGAUGAUAAACUAAUACCAAUGCGUCACUUCAUUCAUAGCAUACUUAAAAAUGGAUAAUACAUACUUAAUCCUUCUAUUGAAACAAUACCAAUGAUAUGAUACAAUAGUGUUCAAGAUUAAUGUUGAGUCAAAAAAUGUAACAUUACAUUUGUUUCUUAUACCAGAUAAGAUUAUGUACUUUUUAUUUCACGCAUAAGAAACAAUUAAAAUCCACUGUAUUGUUAACAAUUGUAAAGCAUGUAAGAGAAACAGAACCAGGACAUAAAUCUAAUAGGUUAUGUCCAUUUGCUUCGAUGACUUAACAAUAAAAGAACACACAAGGUGAAA
Long non-coding RNA from Osmia bicornis bicornis, 1807 nucleotides. RefSeq lists it as uncharacterized. The record is from RefSeq and is a predicted model, not a curated record. Lineage: Eukaryota; Metazoa; Arthropoda; Insecta; Hymenoptera; Megachilidae. The transcript is spliced from 2 exons.